AGCGAACGCUGGCGGCAGGCCUAACACAUGCAAGUCGAACGAACCUUUCGGGGUUAGUGGCGGACGGGUGAGUAACACGUGGGAACGUGCCUUUAGGUUCGGAAUAACUCAGGGAAACUUGUGCUAAUACCGAAUGUGCCCUUCGGGGGAAAGAUUUAUCGCCUUUAGAGCGGCCCGCGUCUGAUUAGCUAGUUGGUUGAGGUAAUGGCUCACCAAGGCGACGAUCAGUAGCUGGUCUGAGAGGAUGAUCAGCCACAUUGGGACUGAGACACGGCCCAAAUUCCUACGGGAGGCAGCAGUGGGGAAUCUUGCGCAAUGGGCGAAAGCCUGACGCAGCCAUGCCGCGUGAAUGAUGAAGGUCUUAGGAUUGUAAAAUUCUUUCACCGGGGACGAUAAUGACGGUACCCGGAGAAGAAGCCCCGGCUAACUUCGUG
This 434-nucleotide ribosomal RNA is filed under the name uncultured bacterium. Its description in RNAcentral is "partial 16S ribosomal RNA". It matches the Rfam family "Bacterial small subunit ribosomal RNA", at positions 29 to 507 of the family's 1533-position model. The record is from RNAcentral.